CCCGCAGGUGUCUGCCGAGUUUGGGGCUUGUGGCUUUAAAGCCCUAGGAGGAGUAGCGUUCAGAAUUUUUUUCUCAGAAGAAUAAUAAUAACUAGAAUUAAAAGUUAGUGAACUAACUUUGAUGUUGGCUUGGCCAUCUUGGCCAUGGAGCAAAAGAGCCAAAGUACUUGUGUGCCCAACAUUGAGUUGCCCCGCUGCAAAAUUAAUACAAAUAAUAAUGCCAUAAAAAAAUACACCUGCAACAGUCUUUUUCCAUGCUCCCUUGCUGUUUUCUUUUUUUAAUAAAAAGCCUGGGCUAUGAUAACAGCUAUGACAGGGUUGUCUAGCUGGAUGUGAAAUAAGUCAUGCCUAUUUUUCUCGUGUAUGUAUUUCACAGUCCUGCCACCGUCACGUUGUGGGCAACGACACACAAGAUAACUGAAACAAUGCAUUUUAAAUCAAGGAGAUCAUAAGGGGUCCAAGCACAAUGGUUUGUAUAGAUGAUGCAGUUACACACUGUUUAAAAUUGUUUAAUUUGUACUGUAUGUUCAUUCUAUUUAUUUAUUUGUGCUAUUUACAUAAUGUUUACAUUUUUUUAAGUUUGUUUAUGUUAAUUUAAAAUAGCACUGCAUAGUCUUCACUGUAAGAUAAAAUACACAAUCAAACCAAAAUGUAUUCAGACACCUUCAACAUUUCUCACAUAAUCACAGUUUAUUUGCUGUAGUUUAGAAACUGGUAAUAAUAUAUGACAAUAACUCAGAACAAAUUCAUAUUGAUAAUUUCGGAUAACUUUGAUAAAAAGAUAUGUAAUGGAAUCAACCAAAACUUCAGACAGCUGUCAGUAUGACAAUAUUUACACAACUAUCAAUACUUUGUUGAACAGUUACCAAGCAAGAAAUGCUUAAUUUGGUUCAGUCUGUGGUGUGAAAAGGUUGCAUUAACAAUUAAAGAAAGAAACACUUAAGCAAAACAUGGGCAGGUCCUUAAUUAUUAUUUUUUUAAAUCAAUUUCACUGGUAGCCUACUGUAUGAAGAAUUAGUGGGUAUAAUAUUUCACAGAUCACUAUUUUGCCAUACUCACUUACAUAAAUGAACUAGUGGCCUGCACCCACUAGUAAAACAAUUCUAUCUUAUUUUUGGAUUGACUUUGGAUAAAUUCUUGUACUACAAGGUAAUUCAGUCAAGAGCAGUGAGUGAUUUACUUUCAUUUUCAUACAUUAAAGACUCUGACAGCAGAGCUAGUAAAUUAGGCGCGGUCCCUUUAAGAGACAAACGCAUCCAUUAUGAUGAUACACAUCCGAUUUUUUUUUUGCAAAUCUUUACUUUCACUUAAGACAUAACCACAUACUUAUUCGAACACACCUUCCAACACGGGUAUUUCGACAUAUUUUGUAUGUAUUUGUUGUCGGUACAAAAGCAAGAAGACUUUGAGACGCGUCUCUGCUUGCUCCCUGAACAACACCGCGCUGCUGAAUUGAGCUCUUUUGCUUUUCGCUCUUUUUUCUGUUUAUUUAAACUGCGAUUUGAAUUUGUUCGUUCAGGUCCAGGAGGAAGUGAACGUCCUGAACGACAGCUCUGUUCAGUGUUGCUGUCCCUGUCCGCGAUACGCGCGGCUCUCUCUCGUGCACACGCGCCAUCAGCUGCUCAGUUCAGUUUCCCGCAGCGCGGGGCUGAAGCCAACUUGAUGUGUUGAAUGCUCGGAGCACGUUAUAAAACGUAUUCUUAAAAUACACAUUUCUGUUUUAAUAAAUGGUCAUAUUAAAUCAUAGCAUAACACAUAAGUAGGUACAAAAAUAAUCAGUGAUGCAUGCGACCCUUUUGGUCUCAGUGUAGCUCCCUGCUUUACCAUGUUAUGCAAC
Molecule: long non-coding RNA, 1837 nt
Organism: Carassius gibelio (silver crucian carp)
Lineage: Eukaryota; Metazoa; Chordata; Actinopteri; Cypriniformes; Cyprinidae
Exons: 3
Source: RefSeq, a predicted model, not a curated record